This 351-nucleotide RNase P RNA is filed under the name uncultured Anaerovibrio sp. RNAcentral's name for it is "Bacterial RNase P class A". It matches the Rfam family "Bacterial RNase P class A". Rfam says of the family: Ribonuclease P (RNase P) is a ubiquitous endoribonuclease, found in archaea, bacteria and eukarya as well as chloroplasts and mitochondria. Its best characterised activity is the generation of mature 5'-ends of tRNAs by cleaving the 5'-leader elements of precursor-tRNAs. Cellular RNase Ps are ribonucleoproteins. Lineage: Bacteria; Bacillati; Bacillota; Negativicutes; Selenomonadales; Selenomonadaceae. The record is from RNAcentral.
GACAAUCGCUGAUACACUGGCUUGCCAGCUGUAUUUGAGGAAAGUCCGGGCUCCACAGGGCAGUGUGCUGGAUAACGUCCAGCGAGGGUGACCUUAGGGAAAGUGUCAUAGAAAAGGAAACCGCCUAAGCAGGUUCGCCUGCCGGCAAGGAUGGAAAGGCGUGGUAAGAGCACACCAGCAGCCAGGUGACUGGUUGGCUUGACAAACCCCACAUGGAGCAAGACCAAAUAGGGAAGGAUACGAGGCGGCCCGCUGACCUUCCGGGUGUGUCGCUAGAGCUGUCAGGCAACUGGCAGUCCAGAUAAAUGAUUGUCACCGCGGAAGCGGUACAGAACUCGGCUUAUUGACCAC